RNAcentral lists this ribosomal RNA (541 nucleotides) under uncultured Rhodocytophaga sp. Its description in RNAcentral is "bacterial SSU rRNA". It matches the Rfam family "Bacterial small subunit ribosomal RNA", at positions 355 to 897 of the family's 1533-position model. The record is from RNAcentral. Lineage: Bacteria; Pseudomonadati; Bacteroidota; Cytophagia; Cytophagales; Rhodocytophagaceae.
UAGGGAAUAUUGGGCAAUGGAGGCAACUCUGACCCAGCCAUGCCGCGUGCAGGAAGAAGGCCUUCUGGGUUGUAAACUGCUUUUGGAAGGGAACAAAACGGCUCUGCGGAGCAACUUGAGUGUACCUUCAGAAUAAGCACCGGCUAACUCCGUGCCAGCAGCCGCGGUAAUACGGAGGGUGCAAGCGUUGUCCGGAUUUAUUGGGUUUAAAGGGUGCGUAGGCGGCCUAUUAAGUCAGGGGUGAAAGACUGCAGCUCAACUGUAGCAGUGCCUUUGAUACUGAUGGGCUUGAGUACAGAUGAGGCCGGCGGAAUGGGUGGUGUAGCGGUGAAAUGCAUAGAUACCAUCCAGAACACCGAUUGCGAAGGCAGCCGGCUAAACUGUAACUGACGCUGAGGCACGAAAGCGUGGGGAUCGAACAGGAUUAGAUACCCUGGUAGUCCACGCUGUAAACGAUGAUUACUCGAUGUUAGCGAUAUACAGUUAGCGUCCAAGGGAAACCGAUAAGUAAUCCACCUGGGGAGUACGCCCGCAAGGGUGA